AAAGUGGAGCAAUCCAUGAGUACAGUGGCGUACGGGUGAGUAACACGUGGAUCAUCUACCUCUUUGUGGGGAAUAACCCUGGGAAACCGGGGAUAAUACCGCAUAAGCCUGAGAAGGGAAAGCAGCAAUGCGCUGAGAGAGGAGUCCGCGGCCGAUUAGCUAGUUGGCAGGGUAAAAGCCUACCAAGGCAGAGAUCGGUAGCCGGCCUGAGAGGGCACACGGCCACACUGGCACUGAAACACGGGCCAGACUCCUACGGGAGGCAGCAGUGGGGAAUCUUGCACAAUGGGGGAAACCCUGAUGCAGCGACGCCGCGUGAGCGAUGAAGCCCUUCGGGGUGUAAAGCUCUUUCGGCAGGGAAGAUUAUGACGGUACCUGCAGAAGCAGCUGCGGCUAACUACGUGCCAGCAGCCGCGGUAAUACGUAGGCAGCAAGCGUUGUUCGGAGUUACUGGGCGUAAAGGGUGUGUAGGCGGUUGUUUAAGUUUGGUGUGAAAUCUCCCGGCUCAACUGGGAGGGUGCGCCGAAUACUGAAUGACUUCGAGUGCGGGAGAGGAUAGUGGAAUUCCUGGUGUAGCGGUGAAAUGCGUAGAUAUCAGGAGGAACACCGGUGGUGUAGACGGCUAUCUGGACCGUAACUGACGCUGAGACACGAAAGCGUGGGUAGCAAACAGGAUUAGAUACCCUGGUAGUCCACGCCCUAAACGAUGCAUAUUUGGUGUGGGUCAUUCAGUUGAUCCGUGCCGGAGCUAACGCGUUAAAUAUGCCGCCUGGGGAGUACAGUCGCAAGGCUGAAACUC
RNAcentral lists this ribosomal RNA (799 nucleotides) under uncultured Bacillota bacterium. RNAcentral's name for it is "bacterial SSU rRNA". It matches the Rfam family "Bacterial small subunit ribosomal RNA", at positions 71 to 902 of the family's 1533-position model. The record is from RNAcentral. Lineage: Bacteria; Bacillati; Bacillota.